RNAcentral lists this ribosomal RNA (490 nucleotides) under uncultured bacterium. RNAcentral describes it as "partial 16S ribosomal RNA". It matches the Rfam family "Bacterial small subunit ribosomal RNA", at positions 30 to 507 of the family's 1533-position model. The record is from RNAcentral.
AUUGAACGCUGGCGGCAGGCCUAACACAUGCAAGUCGAACGGUAACAGGAAGAAGCUUGCUUCUUUGCUGACGAGUGGCGGACGGGUGAGUAAUGUCUGGGAAACUGCCUGAUGGAGGGGGAUAACUACUGGAAACGGUAGCUAAUACCGCAUAACGUCGCAAGACCAAAGAGGGGGACCUUCGGGCCUCUUGCCAUCGGAUGUGCCCAGAUGGGAUUAGCUAGUAGGUGGGGUAACGGCUCACCUAGGCGACGAUCCCUAGCUGGUCUGAGAGGAUGACCAGCCACACGGGAACUGAGACACGGUCCAGACUCCUACGGGAGGCAGCAGUGGGGAAUAUGGCACAAUGGGCGCAAGCCUGAUGCAGCCAGGCCGCGUGUAUGACGAAGGCCUUCGGGUUGUAAAGUACUUUCAGCGGGGAGGAAGGGAGUAAAGUUAAUACGUUGGCUCAUUGACGUUACCCGCAGAAGAAGCACCGGCUAACUACGUG